Long non-coding RNA from Helianthus annuus (common sunflower), 596 nucleotides. RefSeq lists it as uncharacterized. The record is from RefSeq and is a predicted model, not a curated record. Lineage: Eukaryota; Viridiplantae; Streptophyta; Magnoliopsida; Asterales; Asteraceae. The transcript has 2 exons.
ACUAACCAAAAAUACCCAAGACCAUUAUAAAAUAACAAACCCUAGACCAUUCACAAUCGCCGUAUUUCAUUUGAUGAAACGGCCGAUUAUGUUUCAAAAACCUUUGAUCUUCUACCAAUCGCAGCAGUCAUAGACAAAUUAUGCUUGAAGGAGCUCAGAGAAGAAGCUAAUCUCAGAUGCGAGUUAUAUUAGCAUUGUUGUAGAUAUUUUUGUUUUGAUCUAACAAGUUGUUGGAGCUCUUUAUGUCACGAUGUAUGACAAUUUGUGGUUGAUAACAAGGGAUUAUGAAGGUAGUCUAGCCCACAGACAACACAAAUGAAUAUCUAGAGGUAUUAGUUCCGGUGUGUGACAUGUGUGUUCACAAAAUUGUGUUGUACAUGUCUCACGCUUGAAUCAAAUGACUCUAGAUAGUCGUUGGUGUUGUGUGUGGGUUGGCUUACCAUCAUAAUCCUUUGUUGUUAGGGCGGAUUGUCGUACAUUGUGACAUAAAUAGCUCUAACAUCAUGUUUGAGUUUUCUUUUGAAUUAUUGUAUUGUAAUAAAUUUUAUGAAUUAUUGUAUUGUAAUAAAUUUAUUUUUUAUAUAUAAUGUUAUAAA